CCUACGGGUGGCUGCAGUGGGGAAUAUUGCGCAAUGGGCGAAAGCCUGACGCAGCCACGCCGCGUGAGCGAUGAAGGCCUUCGGGUCGUAAAGCUCUGUGGGGAGAGAAGAAUAAAGCCUGUGAAGAGCAGGCCUUGACGGUAUCUCCUUAGCAAGCACCGGCUAACUCCGUGCCAGCAGCCGCGGUAAUACGGAGGGUGCAAACGUUUUUCGGGUACAUUGGGCGUAAAGCGCACGAAGGCUUGCGGGUGAAAACCCUGGGCUCAACCCAGGAAGUGCAUCCAAAACUGGCGGGCUUGAAUCUCGGAGGGGGUCGGAGAAUUCCCGGUGUAGAGGUGAAAUUCGUAGAUAUCGGGAGGAAUACCAGUGGCGAAGGCGCCGACCUGGACGAAGAUUGACGCUGAGGUGCGAAAGCGUGGGGAGCAAACAGGAUUAGAUACCCCUGUAGUC
RNAcentral lists this ribosomal RNA (450 nucleotides) under uncultured bacterium. RNAcentral's name for it is "partial 16S ribosomal RNA". It matches the Rfam family "Bacterial small subunit ribosomal RNA", at positions 338 to 795 of the family's 1533-position model. The record is from RNAcentral.